UACGGAGGAUCCAAGCGUUAUCCGGAUUCACUGGGUUUAAAGGGUGCGUAGGUGGAAUGACAAGUCAGUGGUGAAAACCUGCAGCUUAACUGUAGAACUGCCAUUGAUACUGUUGUUCUUGAGUACAUUUGAUGUGAGCGGAAUGUGCCGUGUAGCGGUGAAAUGCUUAGAUAUGACACAGAACACCAAUUGCGAAGGCAGCCCACAAAACUGUAACUGACACUGAGGCACGAAAGCGUGGGGAUCAAACAGG
Molecule: ribosomal RNA, 253 nt
Filed under: uncultured bacterium
Lineage: Bacteria
Description: partial 16S ribosomal RNA
Rfam family: Bacterial small subunit ribosomal RNA
Source: RNAcentral